AGCAGCCGCGGUAAUUCCAGCUCCAAUAGCGUAUAUUAAAGUUGUUGCAGUUAAAAAGCUCGUAGUUGAAUUUCGGGGUUAGUAGGCUGGUCGUGCCACUGGUAUGUACUGGUCUCACUGAUUCCUCCUUCCUGAUGAGCUGUAAUGCCAUUAAUUUGGUGUUGCAGGGAAUCUGGACUGUUACUUUGAAAAAAUUAGAGUGUUUAAAGCAGGCUAACGCUUGAAUACAUUAGCAUGGAAUAAUGAAAUAGGACGAUCGAUCCUAUUUUGUUGGUUUCUAGGAUUGACGUAAUGAUUAAUAGGGAUAGUUGGGGGCAUUAGUAUUCAAUUGUCAGAGGUGAAAUUCUUGGAUUUAUUGAAGACUAACUACUGCGAAAGCAUUUGCCAAGGAUGUUUUCAUUAAUCAAGAACGAAAGUUAGGGGAUCGAAGACGAUCAGAUACCGUCGUAGUCUUAACCAUAAACUAUGCCGACUAGGGAUCGGAUGAUGUUAAUUUUUAAUUGACUCU
RNAcentral lists this ribosomal RNA (508 nucleotides) under uncultured Glomus. RNAcentral describes it as "SSU rRNA". It matches the Rfam family "Eukaryotic small subunit ribosomal RNA", at positions 569 to 1078 of the family's 1831-position model. The record is from RNAcentral. Lineage: Eukaryota; Fungi; Glomeromycota; Glomeromycetes; Glomerales; Glomeraceae.